This 60-nucleotide transfer RNA is filed under the name Perkinsus olseni. RNAcentral's name for it is "tRNA-Cys". It matches the Rfam family "tRNA", at positions 7 to 64 of the family's 71-position model. Rfam says of the family: Transfer RNA (tRNA) molecules are approximately 80 nucleotides in length. Their secondary structure includes four short double-helical elements and three loops (D, anti-codon, and T loops). Lineage: Eukaryota; Perkinsozoa; Perkinsida; Perkinsidae. The record is from RNAcentral.
GUAGCUCAGUGGUAGAGCGGCUGACUGCAGAUCAGCAGGUCCUCGGUUCAAAUCCGGGCG